Molecule: ribosomal RNA, 112 nt
Filed under: Mus pahari (shrew mouse)
Lineage: Eukaryota; Metazoa; Chordata; Mammalia; Rodentia; Muridae
Source: RNAcentral
GUCUAUGGUUAUACCACCCUGUACGUGCCUGAUCUCAUCUGAUUUUGGAAGCUAAGCAAGAUCAGGCCUGGUUGGAUGGGAGACCGCCUGGGAGUAUCAGGUGCUAUAGGUU